Molecule: long non-coding RNA, 906 nt
Organism: Nematostella vectensis (starlet sea anemone)
Lineage: Eukaryota; Metazoa; Cnidaria; Anthozoa; Actiniaria; Edwardsiidae
Exons: 2
Source: RefSeq, a predicted model, not a curated record
AGUCUUCCUACUAGCAAGUCUUGUAUUAUAUUGAUGUAUCCUGUUAAUAUUUGUGAAAAAUGAUUUGAAGACAGAUGGCAAAUGAUCUGAAUGGAAGUCAUACAUAAACAGUGCAUUGUUAAGAUAGAUUAUGUCAUGAAGUUUGAGGAGACUAAGUUGGUAGAAUAAUGGAUUUGAAGGGGUCCUAAAAUCAGAAAAAGUUAAUAUUCUAAUUGCCCUUUUCUGAAGUAUAAAAAGGGGCUUAAGAGUAGUUGCAUAGGUGUUGCCCCAGGUCACAACUGAGUAAGUUAGAAAUGGAAAUAAUAAUGUAUAGUAAAGCAUUUUUAGGACUGAAAUAUUUACAUAAUGUCUUAUUUUUGAGAGAACACCAAUGCAACGUUUAAUCUUUUUAGCUAUAUGAAGUAUCUGAUAUUUCCAGCUAAGAUGGGAGUCAAUAUAUAUGCCUAGAUAUUUGAUGUACUUCUCUUUCUUGAUGCAUUUGCCAUUUAUCUUAAUACUUAGAGUAUAAUUAGAGAUUUUCUGUGGUGGAUGAAAAAUGAUGAAGUUUGUUUUAUCGAUAUUUAGAGAGAGCUUAUUGGCAGCAAGCCAGCUAGAAACAUGAAGAAGAUUUUCGUUGAUACAGGAUUCCAGAGCAAGCAAACUACUGUUCGAGUAAAAUAGGGUACUGAUAAAUAGGACUUCAAAAAUUUUAGAAGGCAAACUGGGAUGCUAUAAGGACCUGAUGCCUUGGAGGGAUUUAACCCAGAAAUAAUAUCCUCUAUCUCAAAUGCUGUGACCGGAGAAAGGACAAAACUGUUUACUAGCGGUGGACCAAGGAAGGAUUCAGGACUUCUAUCUACAUGUGGAAUUUUACUAGCAAGCUGACUACCAAUUGUAGCAAAAAAGUUAUUAAAGGCUAUUGCAAUA